CUGAUAUGUAAGACAAGAUACAUAAUUUACCCGGAAAAAAUAGUUAUAAUCCAAGCAUAUAAUUAUAAUAUAUAUAGAUUUAACUCAGUUUCAUGAUCUUGAGAGUCAGAUAAGAGUAACGGGGUCACCCUGCCCAUGAGUACAAUGAUAAUGUAUCCAUGCAUAUUCGUUGAGUUAGAUAUAUUAGGUAAUAUUAUGCAAUGAAUAAAUAAGUAAUUAUGGAGACAUUGGGAAAAUGUAACAGUAAAUACAUAAUACUACCUAAAGAUAUAUUAGGUAAUAUUAUGUAUGUAAUGUUACAUUUUUUUCCAGUAGCUCCAUAACUGCUUAUUUAUCCAUACCAUACUGUAACACUAUCAGUUAUUCUGUCAUUCCCAACUUCCAAAAUUAUUUGUGCUUUCCAUCUUGACUACUCUAGCAUAACACUAGAGGCGGUUAGCAUGGAGAAGAAAAGGCAAAAAAAUUGAAAGUUGAGAAGAAAGGUUCUUAGAGCGACCAGCAAACCAUCAUGUCUAUGCAUGUUUCAAACUUUAAAGGGAUGGUAAAUACCAGAUCUAUUUGACAAGAAUAACUGUCAAAUUCUGGAGGCAGUGAGGAAAGAGGCUCCUUAAAACUCAUGGCAAAAAUGGCAGUUUCCACCU
RNAcentral lists this long non-coding RNA (641 nucleotides) under Medicago truncatula (barrel medic). RNAcentral describes it as "long non-coding RNA (MTRU_LNC002553)". Lineage: Eukaryota; Viridiplantae; Streptophyta; Magnoliopsida; Fabales; Fabaceae. The record is from RNAcentral.